UACAGAGGGUGCAAGCGUUAAUCGGAAUUACUGGGCGUAAAGCGCGCGUAGGCGGCUGUCUAAGUCGGAUGUGAAAUCCCCGGGCUCAACCCGGGAACUGCGUCCGAUACUGGCAGGCUUGAAUCCGGGAGAGGAUGUGGAAUUCCAGGUGUAGCGGUGAAAUGCGUAGAUAUCUGGAGGAACACCGGUGGCGAAGGCGGCAUCCUGGACCGGUAUUGACGCUGGAGGCGCGAAAGCCAGGGGAGCAAAACGG
This 253-nucleotide ribosomal RNA is filed under the name uncultured bacterium. RNAcentral's name for it is "partial 16S ribosomal RNA". It matches the Rfam family "Bacterial small subunit ribosomal RNA", at positions 524 to 776 of the family's 1533-position model. The record is from RNAcentral.